This 253-nucleotide ribosomal RNA is filed under the name uncultured bacterium. RNAcentral's name for it is "partial 16S ribosomal RNA". It matches the Rfam family "Bacterial small subunit ribosomal RNA", at positions 524 to 776 of the family's 1533-position model. The record is from RNAcentral.
UACGUAGGGGGCAAGCGUUAUCCGGAUUUACUGGGUGUAAAGGGAGCGUAGACGGUGAUGUAAGUCAGAUGUGAAAGCCCGGGGCUCAACUCCGGGACUGCAUUUGAAACUAUGUUGCUGGAGUGCAGGAGAGGUAAGUGGAAUUCCUAGUGUAGCGGUGAAAUGCGUAGAUAUUAGGAGGAACACCAGUGGCGAAGGCGGCUUACUGGACUGUAACUGACGUUGAGGCUCGAAAGCGUGGGGAGCGAACAGG